UCUGAAGGGUUCCUUACCGCGUGUCCCAGCAGAGGGAGGAGCCUGCAUUCUCACAGCCCUCGAUAAUCUCGGUUUCCUACUUCCAGCAUAUCUUCCAUUUAAACUGAAUCACAGCCAGCUAACAAUUCAGUUCAUUGACAAUUGCCAUGACAACAACUGGAAAAGCCCACUCAAGGACUGAAAAGGAGUGGUCUGGCUCCAAACCACACCCCUAUUCUCAGCAUGCAGAAGUUCCCUGGCGAGGGACUGCACCCAUGCCAUGGAGUGACCCAACCUGCUGCAGUGACAACACAAAAUCCUCAAUCUGCUGAGCCACAA
Phacochoerus africanus (Common warthog) is the source of this 318-nucleotide long non-coding RNA. RefSeq lists it as uncharacterized. The transcript has 3 exons. The record is from RefSeq and is a predicted model, not a curated record. Lineage: Eukaryota; Metazoa; Chordata; Mammalia; Artiodactyla; Suidae.